AUAUGUAUGUCUAGACCUCUAAAUAGUUUUGUGCAUUUCUAUUUAUUUUUUGCAAUUUUCAGCUUUAUUAACUUCUUUCCUUUGUAACAUGAGGAUUUAACUCCCUUUCCUGUGUCCCACCACUAUCAAACCUUCAUAUUCCUCAUCCUCCUAACACAGAGUCAUGAUUUUGGUUAAAUUAAGAUACAGCUCAGUUCCUUUUAGUAUGCAGUUGUCCCUCAGGAUCCAUGGGGGAUUGGAUCCAGGAACCCCCAACAGAUACCAAAGUCCACAGAAGCUCAGAUUCAUUAUCUAUGAUGUAGUAUUUGCCUAUAACC
Molecule: long non-coding RNA, 317 nt
Filed under: Pan troglodytes (chimpanzee)
Lineage: Eukaryota; Metazoa; Chordata; Mammalia; Primates; Hominidae
Description: long non-coding RNA NONPTRT000654
Source: RNAcentral